UCCAAUAAACAGAAUGAUAAAAUUCGAUAGAUUGUACAAUGAUUUCUUAGCUAUUAUUUACCUAGUAACAACUAUUUCAAAUUCCUAUAAAUUUUAUACGUUUGUUCUGCGAUACUACACCAAAUGAAAUAUAUCUGAAAAUCUAAUAAAUUUCUUAAAUAUGAUUUGGUAUAGUUUUUAUAUUAUAGGUGUGUUUUUCUCUGAAGAAAUUUUCGAGUCGGGCUGUGAAAUUUUGAUUUGGUUGUCGGUAAACGUUUUUUUACUCGCUCAGCUGCUGUUCGAGGAAAAAAAAUGUAUGGACGAGUUCACUGGAUGUCGAAGUGGAAGCUGCGAAGGAUGAUGUCAACGCUAGCGGUAAAGGUAGGUAAACACCUGUUUGUAUGGCGAGAAAUUUAAAUUCGGUUUUCUUCAUUCUCGCUCACAGAUCCGUAGAAAGAAUCCGGUAAACAGUCAGCAGAAGCAUUCCACCAUUGAAGCAGCAGGGAAUCGGCCGGAAGGGCAUCAGCAGCAGAAAAAUACCUUUUUGGGUUCCGAUUUCCAAGUUCCUCAAAAUUCUGCUCUUCCGGCAGCCGAAGUAUGAGCCAGCCCAUUGCACCGGCCGUGCGGUCAUUUCUUCGAUAUGGCCAAAACCGAUUAGUUCAAUUGCAGAAAGUGCCUAGGCAGGAUGAAAUGAUACUUUGGAAGAAAUGGAACUGUAUAGUGUCCAAUAGAAACAUUCGUGCAUACGUUUUUUCUGGGGUUCCGUUUAGUGAAUGAACCGGAAAAAUAGUUUCUCCACGGAUGUGCCAAUGAAAAAAAAAACUAAAACGAAAUUUUCAGAAUCGCUUGACCGGUUCCAGUUCCUGUAGUAUUCGCCAGUAUUCAGACCAGAUUUACCAAACAGUCUGUAAAUUGUUUUGGAAGGAUCAUAUCUUAGAGGUGCAAUAUUUUGCUGGUGGCUACUGUUUUGGAACAUAAACACUGAGGGUGAUAAAUUGCAGUAAUUAAAACGACCGGCAGAAUUCGGACGAAGGAAUGGCUCGACCUUUUCAAAUCAGAUAAAAUAUCCUUACACGAAAAUGGCAAACUCAAAAAGUCAUCUAGAAUGGAUGUUAUUUGUCAUUUUAAAUAUCGGCAAAAAUACCUCACCUAUAACAAGAAACAUAUGGUGAUACUCAAAUGUUGCAAAAAUCCAUGAUUAUUGGAUUUAAAACCGCGUAACGAAAAAUCUAUCUAUUGAAUGGAGAAGAUCCGACUUUCCUAGAGAGCUUCAAACUCGUUUCACCCAAACCAUAAAAAUUCAAUUGAUAAUACCACAUCAACAAUGUUAGAGCUUUAAAUUGUAUUCGCAAGAUUCUCGUGGAGCUUCAGGUAAGAAUAAACAAUAUUCAUCUUCAAAAAUCUCAAACCAUACAUUUUUGUAAAGUAGAAAUAUUUUUCUCAUUUUUGUUUAAGGUAACAUAUCUGCACUCUGCACCCAUCCGCGGCGGCACGUAUAUUGGCGUUGUAUUGUCUGCCGGAUUAAUGAUAGUGUGCACCAAGUGGCAAUUUUACUGGGUUAGUAGCAGAUUCCAGCAUAUCAACGAGGAACGGCGACUGUUUUCAAGUUAAAUAGUCAGACGACUAUCAAAGCUAAAUAAAUUGUAAAUAAAAACAAUUGAAACUGAAAUCACUAUUUAUUAUUUGAAUGAAAAAGAAAACGAAAAGGUUUAAUUUACUGCAUUGAGCUGUAAUUGAAAUCAAAUUCACAAACUAUUACAUUCAUUGAAAUUUCUAAUAAAGGUAAUCGGAACAAAAAUCUAUACAUUUCAUUUUGUGUGAACAUACGUAAAAAGUAUUGGAUUUUCUUUUAGUGCAAAAUCACUAAAAAACCCGAUAAAGCUUAUAGCCCGAUUUCGAUCA
Molecule: long non-coding RNA, 1881 nt
Organism: Uranotaenia lowii
Lineage: Eukaryota; Metazoa; Arthropoda; Insecta; Diptera; Culicidae
Exons: 3
Source: RefSeq, a predicted model, not a curated record